RNAcentral lists this long non-coding RNA (421 nucleotides) under Selaginella moellendorffii. RNAcentral's name for it is "long non-coding RNA (SMOE_LNC002361)". The record is from RNAcentral. Lineage: Eukaryota; Viridiplantae; Streptophyta; Lycopodiopsida; Selaginellales; Selaginellaceae.
UGCCAGCUCCCGGUGGAGGAGACGUAGAGAAAGCAACCGUGGAUUGCCAUGUACGCAACGUAGAGCUGAUCAUGAUAUCUGUCGAGCAGCAAAGAGAAUGGACCCAUUUCGUGGCAGGAAGGGGCCAAGCGUAGGCCAUGGCUUCCAAUUAACUGCUCCGGGAUCAUGAGACGUUCUCCAUCACACGGGCUCCAUGCUAAUGUGCAAUCGUCUGUGCCAUUGCCUCUGUGAACGAGGACCCAGGUUUUUGAAUCAUCCAUCUCCUCUAUCCUAUUUGCUACUUUAACCGCUGAACCUUUAGCCGAUGGAAACAGCUCCAGCCCUGGAUCAGAGACAAUCUCCCACUCACCAUCAUCACCCGGUAACCAUGCUCAAGACCUCAACCUAAUUAUCUAGGGUUCAUCUGGAUCUAUGGCUUACA